UCGAGGGGGGCGGAGAGUGGCCCUCCGUGCGCCCCGGCGCGCGGCCGGCCC
RNAcentral lists this ribosomal RNA (51 nucleotides) under Lasiocladus villosus. Its description in RNAcentral is "partial 5.8S ribosomal RNA". The record is from RNAcentral. Lineage: Eukaryota; Viridiplantae; Streptophyta; Magnoliopsida; Lamiales; Acanthaceae.